RNAcentral lists this long non-coding RNA (1059 nucleotides) under Phasianus colchicus (ring-necked pheasant). RNAcentral describes it as "lncRNA (ENSPCLG00000003381.1)". The record is from RNAcentral. Lineage: Eukaryota; Metazoa; Chordata; Aves; Galliformes; Phasianidae.
UGUUAGCAGCAGCAUAAUAAUAUAAUAAUAAUAGGCAAUAAUAAUCGUAAUGGUUAUUGUGUUAUUAUGAACCAGCUAGACUUUGGCACCUCUGUCUCCACAGGUGCCAACUCUGUUCCAUUCCUCAGCAAAUGUGUUGCUGCCACUGUUUCACCAUGAUGCCCGGGAAAGGAUUUCGUUUGUAUCUUGUUUUGUCUGUAACUGGUUAUUUUUUCCCCUUUGCUUAUUUUGCCAUCACCUCCCUUUCACAUGAGGGAAGAGGAAAGGUGUCAGACUAACCCUCAUCCCUACAGUAAGACAUGUUAUUGCAGCAUUCCACCUGAAAUGAUCUGAUGCCACUGCUAGAGCAUGCACUUAACAUGCCCUUGAGUUCAAGAAUGUUUAAAUAUCACGUAUAAUUUCUACUGGAGUGUUCACGUGUUUGUAAUUUAUUUUUUUUUCUUUUGUCUACUAAAGGGGGAAGAGCUGUAUUUUUUUCCUUUGUGAUCUUUUAUGAACUACUGCUCUUCAGGGACAGAGAUCACUAAUGCAAGAGGGAGAGCAAUUGCUUAUUGAUGUAAUUGUAGCAAAUGAGCGCAGUAUAAAGGGCACGUAACUGACAGCAUCUUUCUGGAAGAUAUGCAGACACUCUCCUGCUUCACUGGGAAUGUUUGUACAUGUUGCCAGAUACUUGUCCUAAGGUGAGUCUGAAAAUACACAACUGGAGCAAAAGUUCAGAACAUGAGUAAUUAAAGAAGGCCUUCUUAUCACUCUUCUCACUUUAUCUCUCUUCUGUUUCAGUGUGUUUGUUUCCUUUUCAUAAAGAAGACAACAGCUCUGGAUGCUGAUAAAACAAAGCUUGGCGGAGUCCCAAGCGCAAAAUCUUGUUCUGGGACUACACUCAGCUUGAUCUUCUCAUUUACCUCACAGGCAUUCAGUCUUCAAAAGCCAGGACCAUGCAAAAGAAUUUUGAAUAGAUUGAACCUGGGGACGUUUCUGGUUCAACUAGUACUAAUGGAAUGUUGGCUUUGGAAAAUGAAAACUCCGCAGUCUGGUGCUGGAAGAAUUAGAAGGAUUUGA